AUCCAGAGUGGCCUGGUGUGACUUUGACAGGUAGAAAUAGGCCCAGAGUGGCCUGGUGUGACUUGGACAGGUAGAAAUAGGCCCAGAGUGGCCUGGUGUGACUUGGACAGGUAGAAAUAGGCCCAGAGUGGCCUGGUGUGACUUGGACAGGUAGAAAUAGGCUGAAAGUGGCCCAGAGUGACUUGGACAGGUAGAAAUAGGCCCAGAGUGGCCUGGUGUGACUUGGACAGGUAGAAAUAGGCUGAAAGCGGCCCAGAGUGACUUGGACAGGUUGAAAUAGGCCCAGAGUGGCCUGGUGUGACUUGGACAGGUAGAAAUAGGCUGAAAGCAGCCCAGAGUGACUUGGACAGGUUGAAAUAGGCCCAGAGUGGCCUGGUGUGACUUGGACAGGUAGAAAUAGGCUGAAAGCAGCCCAGAGUGACUUGGACAGGUAGAAAUAGGCCCAGAGUGACUUGGACAGGUUGAAAUAGGCUGAGAGUGGCCCAGAGUGACUUGGACAGGUAGAAAUAGGCCCAGAGUGGCCUGGUGUGACUUGGACAGGUAGAAAUAGGCCCAGAGUGGCCUGGUGUGACUUGGACAGGUAGAAAUAGGCUGAAAGUGGCCCAGAGUGACUUGGACAGGUAGAAAUAGGCCCAGAGUGGCCUGGUGUGACUUGGACAGG
RNAcentral lists this long non-coding RNA (661 nucleotides) under Haliotis rubra (blacklip abalone). RNAcentral describes it as "uncharacterized LOC124263553, transcript variant X4". The record is from RNAcentral. Lineage: Eukaryota; Metazoa; Mollusca; Gastropoda; Lepetellida; Haliotidae.